UACGAAGGGGGCUAGCGUUGCUCGGAAUCACUGGGCGUAAAGCGCACGUAGGCGGGUCGUUAAGUCGGGGGUGAAAUCCUGGAGCUCAACUCCAGAACUGCCUUCGAUACUGGCGACCUUGAGUCCGGGAGAGGUGAGUGGAACUCCGAGUGUAGAGGUGAAAUUCGUAGAUAUUCGGAGGAACACCGGUGGCGAAGGCGGCAUCCUGGACCGACACUGACACUGAGGAGCGAAAGCCAGGGGAGCAAACGGG
RNAcentral lists this ribosomal RNA (253 nucleotides) under uncultured bacterium. RNAcentral's name for it is "partial 16S ribosomal RNA". It matches the Rfam family "Bacterial small subunit ribosomal RNA", at positions 524 to 776 of the family's 1533-position model. The record is from RNAcentral.